Long non-coding RNA from Podarcis raffonei (Aeolian wall lizard), 427 nucleotides. RefSeq lists it as uncharacterized. The record is from RefSeq and is a predicted model, not a curated record. NCBI's taxonomy places the organism in Eukaryota, Metazoa, Chordata, Lepidosauria, Squamata, Lacertidae. The transcript is spliced from 3 exons.
CUACUCACUAACACAAGCCAGAUGUUGGACAGGCUCCGUUUCCUGAUUAGUUGAGAAUUCUCAUCUGGAACGGCGUAUUUUGGCCAUGAUCCUGAAAUCCAACCACUGAAUUAACCUUCUAAAUAAAGCACAAAGUGCAAGUGCAACCAUGUAGCCCACUGUGAAGUGUUGAGCAUUUGUAACUGGCACAGAACUGGGAUGUGGCAGCUGCCUUUGAAGAAGAGGUGUCGGAACAGAACUGGGUCAGGAAAAUUCAUCACCACUCUAACCCUAACUGGAGUACAGUGGUACCUCCGGUUGCAAACGGGAUCCAUUCUGGAGGUCCGGCUGCAUCCCUAGGUAUUGGCAACCGGAGGACUGCUUCUGCACAUGCACGCACGGCGAAACCCAUUCGCAUCCCAAAGAUUACGCAUCCAGAGGGAUAUGU